ACGGGAGGCAGCAGUGGGGGAUAUUGCACAAUGGGGGAAACCCUGAUGCAGCAACGCCGCGUGAGGGAAGAAGGUUUUCGGAUUGUAAACCUCUGUCCUUGGUGACGAUAAUGACGGUAGCCAAGGAGGAAGCUCCGGCUAACUACGUGCCAGCAGCCGCGGUAAUACGUAGGGAGCGAGCGUUGUCCGGAUUUACUGGGUGUAAAGGGUGCGUAGGCGGCCAUGCAAGUCAGGUGUGAAAACCCGGGGCUUAACCCCGGGACUGCAUUUGAAACUGUGUGGCUUGAGUGAAGUAGAGGCAGGCGGAAUUCCCGGUGUAGCGGUGAAAUGCGUAGAGAUCGGGAGGAACACCAGUGGCGAAGGCGGCCUGCUGGGCUUUAACUGACGCUGAGGCACGAAAGCAUGGGUAGCAAACAGGAUUAGAUACCCUGGUA
This 434-nucleotide ribosomal RNA is filed under the name uncultured Oscillospiraceae bacterium. Its description in RNAcentral is "bacterial SSU rRNA". It matches the Rfam family "Bacterial small subunit ribosomal RNA", at positions 341 to 792 of the family's 1533-position model. Lineage: Bacteria; Bacillati; Bacillota; Clostridia; Eubacteriales; Oscillospiraceae. The record is from RNAcentral.